GGAAGUUGACAUGUCAUCACUUCAUUUUUUUGCGCCUGCGCAUAAAUCUGAGAAACGUGAGUUUGUCAUCAUUUUUUAUCUAGACAUAGGAUAGGUUGAGUGAAAAUAUUACUGAUGUUUAACGUUAAAAAUGGACCAAAAGAUUAAUGCUAAACAACAUUUGACAUGUUUGAACGAACAUAAAUAGAUUAUUUACUAGGUUUUUUUAGCUUUUCGGCGUGAUUUUACCAGCCUCCACCACGUUUUGUGGGAGCAUAAUGAACGCUAAGAACUUGGUGUUAUUUGGACAUAAAUUAUGAACUUUGUCAAAAGAAACCACAUUUGUUCCGGACCUGGAAUGCCUUCCGGACCUGGGAUCCUGCCUUCUGAUGGAGAUAAUCAAAGACCUUUCUGCUGCCUUUGAUACUGUGAACCAUCAGAUCCUCCUCUCCACCCUCUCCGAGUUGGGCAUCUCCGGCGCGGCCCACGCUUGGAUUGCGUCCUACCUGACAGGUCGCUCCUACCAGCGAGUCCCAGUGGACCCUUCACUUCAAACACACCAAAGACAAAACAGCAGCUCACUCAGUAUCUCAUUCAGGCUGUGCUCAAAUGAAAGAUAGAGAUCCUUCACUUCGUUCAUGGCUCUAUCAGCCACUCCUAGUCGAGGACUGUGCUCUCUCUCUGUUUGGUAUUAAAGUACUUUGCUGUAACUUGUGUCUUGAGGUUAUGAAUGGACUGUAUCAAUGUCUUGUAGGUUGAUUGAAUAGACUACGGUAGCUAAAUAAUUGACUGUGUCAUGUAAUAUGUCCUGUUAUGAAUUGUUUUUGUACGCAGUGUCUUAGAGUUACAGGUAAUGCCUUGAGGUUAUACAUUGACUGAGCACUCUUAGAAGUAAAAGUUCCUGGAAGAACCUUUUCGGGUUCUAAAAAUUGCCAUACCAGUGGAACCUUUCCAGUUCUAAAAGGUUCCUCGAGGAACCCCUGUGUAAAGGGUCUUCGAGGAACCCCUGUGUAAAGGGUCUUCGAGGAACCCCUGUGUAAAGGCUCAAACCGGAACCUUUUUGUGAUGGAAGGGGU
Molecule: long non-coding RNA, 1055 nt
Filed under: Salmo salar (Atlantic salmon)
Lineage: Eukaryota; Metazoa; Chordata; Actinopteri; Salmoniformes; Salmonidae
Description: lncRNA (ENSSSAG00000094077.1)
Source: RNAcentral